AUUGAACGCUGGCGGCAGGCCUAACACAUGCAAGUCGAGCGGAUGAAGGGAGCUUGCUCCUGGAUUCAGCGGCGGACGGGUGAGUAAUGCCUAGGAAUCUGCCUGGUAGUGGGGGAUAACGUCCGGAAACGGGCGCUAAUACCGCAUACGUCCUGAGGGAGAAAGUGGGGGAUCUUCGGACCUCACGCUAUCAGAUGAGCCUAGGUCGGAUUAGCUAGUUGGUGGGGUAAAGGCCUACCAAGGCGACGAUCCGUAACUGGUCUGAGAGGAUGAUCAGUCACACGGGAAUGAGAAAAGGGUCAAGACACCUACGGGAGGCGCAAGAGGGGAACAUUGGACAAGGGGGGAAAUCCUACUCCAGCCAGCCGGGGGGGGGGAGAAAGGUCUUGGGAUGGUAAAGCACGUUAAAUGGGGAGAAAGGGCAGUAAGGUAAUAAGUUGCUGUUGUGACGUUACCAACAGAAUAAGCACCGGCUAACUACGUG
RNAcentral lists this ribosomal RNA (484 nucleotides) under uncultured bacterium. RNAcentral's name for it is "partial 16S ribosomal RNA". It matches the Rfam family "Bacterial small subunit ribosomal RNA", at positions 29 to 507 of the family's 1533-position model. The record is from RNAcentral.